CAAACACGCAAACAAAUCUCGCCCGCUCGCAGGCCAAGGCGAGGGGUACCCGGCGCCCCACUCCGCGCGCGCCGAGCCACGCUCCGCCCGCGCGCCCCCGGCCGGAAGGGGCGUGGGACGCCGCCGAGGGAGGGGCGCGCAGACGCGCCGCGGCCGGCCGGGCCCCUGGCGCGUCGGGCGGAGGCGGGAGGCGGGAGGCGGGAGGCGGAGGCCUGGGGGCGGGGAGCGGAGCCCGGGGGCCGGCCGGCGCUUGUUCUCUGCCGCGCUAGCUCGGGCUACUCGCGCUCCCGCGCCGCGCCGCGCCCGGCUUCAUGUGAAGCGCCGGCCCUCUGCCCCCUCCCUCCCCUUCCUUCCCUCCCUCCCUCCCGUCCCCUCCUCCUCCUCCUCCUCCUCCCUCUUCUCCUCCUCCUCCGCCCCCUCCCGCGCCCGCUCCCGCUCCCCGGGGCCCCAGCCCGGCUGGGCGCUGACAGCAGGGGCGGGGGGGGUCCCGCCGCCGCCGUGUCUCACGCAGGCUCCGGCUGGGGCAGCGGAGCCCCCGGUGCGGCCAUGACCGGCCUCUGGUGGCGUCGGCGGAGGCGGAGGAGGAACUGGAGUGGCAAGUGGCGAGUCGCAGGAGGAAGGCCUGGGCAAGUGCCGCGGCUCCUGGCAGGCAUCGGAAACGGAGGACCUGUCCACAGAAGCGACGACGCAGGACGAGGACGAGGACGACGAGGACGACCUCCCGGGCGGGAAGCUGCCGGCGGCGGCGGGGAGAGGAAACGUGCCCAACGAGAAGAUCGCGAUAUGGCUCAAGGAUUGCCGGUGAGUCCUCGCUUUCGCCGCUAGCGUCCCAGAGGGAGAUCCGCGGAGAUGGCACUGCGGAGCCGGAGUCACUAGGGCCGCAGUCCCAGUGGGUCCCGUGGCCGUUGUGAGCUAUAAGCCGGAAAGUGAGCCGGCGGAUAGUUUCCUCCUCUAGAAGAUUAGAAAUGGAAGUGCUGUGACCGCUGAUUAUUUGGUGGCCGUGUUUACUUUACAGUUGUUAGGACUUCAGUCCCUGUGCAUGAUGUUAGCAUCAGAGAUCAGAGACCUAAAACAAAUAAUCAUGCAGUGUUGUUAUUCUUGCCUGUUUUUAUUCGAAAGGAUUUUCACAUUUCACACUAUUUUAUUUUGCUUUUGUUUUGACGUCUGUAUAUCUGGCAUGGAAUGAUUUCCCUUUCAAAUGUGUUUUAGAUGAAUUUAAUUUACUUAACAACACGAACUGGGCUUUAAUUUUAGCUUUGAGCCUUAAUUCUAUUUGGACAGCUAUAAAACCAGCUAACUUUGUUCUUGUAGUUUACUCCUUGGACAUGCAUUUGUCAGAUGGCACUGGAAUGCGCAAAGGGAAAUAGAGCUUUGAAGGCAUUCAAAUGGCAUAAAUCUAAUUGCAUGCUUUGGCAACUGGUACAACUCUUCGAUAAAGUGCAAGAGGAGAUGAAUCAUAUUGCACGUAAAUCUUACUACAGUAAAAAAGGGCUUGUUUUAUAUUUUUUUUCCAGUUUAUUUUCUAGUUGUAAAAUCUCAUAUGAAGAAUGUUACUUUUUAAUGCGGCUACGGUGUUUGCUCCUGCACAUAUUUGCCAUCUCAUUUUGGGCUUUUCUUAAUCUUUUGUUCAAGUACCAGAGGUAAGGAAGUAUUUUUUGGAGCAAGGAGAAGUGAUUUUCAUAUAUGCCAGCUUAUUUUUCCUAACCUAAACACAGAUAAAGUAUUGGCUACUACAUUGAUUUCCUGUUUUGAUGAAUUACUGGAUUUUUUGGUAAUUUUGAUGAAUUACUAAGCACUCUUCACUGCAGAACUCCUUAACCUUUACUGGGGGUGUCAUAGACCCUUUGAGAUAUGAAGAAGUAUAUGGACCUUCUCUCUAAAGGUGCAUCAAAAAUAAUGUUUAACAGCAAGAGAAAAAUCAUAUUGUGUUUACUUUAUGAUGUAUAGGAAUUAAGAUUAUAUGCGAUCAUAUCAAGUAGACAGUACGUUUAUCUUGUAAGAUAAAUGCAGUAGGCAAAUGUUACUCAUCAGACAUAUCACUUCUGAAAAUUCCAAAAGUUUUGUUGGUAAUCUUACGUAGGCAGAUUCUAUAGUCUGUUGCUCCUUCCCUCAUAGGAUUCCUGCAUAGAUUUCCUUCUUGUUCCUUACAGUUGCACCUAUUUUGUACAAAAGGGGCAUUCAUUUGUACCUGGGAAAGCUAAAACAAAUAGUCUUGUCAUGUUAGCUGUAUUAUCACAGAUUUCACUGCUAGGAUAUAUGCAACUGUAGUUUUUUUUAUUUUUUAAACAGUUUAGGAUCCUUCUCAGAGUUAGGCGUUCUACCUACUUUGUACAUUAUAAGUGAUCUAAAGCUAGCUUUUUCCUCUUGAUACAUUCUCAUUUUUUUUUCUUAUUGAUGUCCAUAUCCUGAAUAAAGAUACCAUUUGUCAUUCCUUUGGGGGGGGGGUCCUUUAUUUUGAUAAUCACUUUUUUAACUAAGUGGAAAUAAAUUGCUUGAAUUAAAUCUAAGAAAGGAUAGUUUUUUGAGAGAAUUUGGAAAAGAGAGCCGUUGUAAGAGUGAGAAACUUGUUUCUGAAGGAGAAUGGCAGUUAUAUUCUCUUUAUUUGCCACUUUUGUUAGUGCACCCACGCAUAGAGACAUCUGCAGGAGUAAAACAGUGUUUUGUCCUAAGAAAGUAGCACAGGGAAGAAGAAGGACUUUAUAAAGCAUAAAUUCCAGUUUUAUUAAAAUACAUGCAAAAUUUAGCUCCAAAGUUUUUACUGUUUUUAUGGUAGUUGUGUUUCUUUACAUUUUUCAAAAGCACUAAUUUUCAAAGAACUGCCACUGCUUUUAUAUUUGCUUGCAGAAAGUUUUAACAUUAAAUUGUCAUUUCAAUAAUAUUUUUUGAGCCUGAUAUUUUUAUGAUCUCAUAUUUGAUGUGAAUUUGUAACAGGUAUAAACUGUUACUGAUGAAAAAUUCAAAUCACAAAACAGAACUUUCAAAAUAAAACAGUGUUUCUUAAUAUAAUUUAGUUUUGAGAAAGAAAUGAAAAACAUUUUCAUUUUCACAUUAAAAAAAGAUUUCUAAGUUAUCUCUGAACGGGAAGAAUGUGAAAGAAUUUUAGCAAUGGCUGGUUCUUAAGGUUGAUUCUCAAGCCAACUUUUUAGUUUUUAGAGUUAAAUGAAGAUACAUGUAUUUCAUAGUUUAAAAACAGAAAAAAAAAAUCUUAAGCUUCUUCAUUUAGACCAAAAAGAUAGUUGGGGUAAGGGAGGCACUGAGUGAUGCUCUUAAAAUGCUGGUGAUAGGUCUGACAGAUGAGGUUUAAAAAAAGUGUUGAGGCUUAUUUCUAAUUAGACUCUGACUUAAAUUUUAUUAAAGAUUUGUUUUCUUUUAAUUCUGUUUCCUGUUUCUAGGGAGGGGAUUGAGGGCAGCCGACAUUUUCUUAAUGCCUGCUGACAUUCUCUUUUUCUGUUUUUGUAAAGAAAAUGCUAAUUAAUAUCAUUUGUAAUUACAAUUCUUGCUCUUAAUUGCUGGCAGAUCAGAUGUGUGAUUAAGUCAUUCCUGGUGAACUGACUUGAGGAUAGGUGUUUGCUUAGUUAGUAGGAUAUUACUUAUGUAAUACACUUGCAUUCCUUUUGUGUUUGGGGAGGAGAGUUAAACUGUGAUUAGAAGCUUGCUUGGCUGUGAUCCUUUAAAUGUAAAGUUGUGCAGUAACAACUCUCCAGAUAGCUUUUUAAGACUAAGGUUU
Zalophus californianus (California sea lion) is the source of this 3727-nucleotide long non-coding RNA. NCBI's taxonomy places the organism in Eukaryota, Metazoa, Chordata, Mammalia, Carnivora, Otariidae. The record is from Ensembl.